This is a non-coding RNA of Sciurus carolinensis (gray squirrel), 363 nucleotides long. The record is from the annotation of a RefSeq genome assembly. NCBI's taxonomy places the organism in Eukaryota, Metazoa, Chordata, Mammalia, Rodentia, Sciuridae.
AUGGGCUGCCCCUACCUCACUGCUCUCUCCCUUGCAGCUGGUCAUUCACUCAUCCAACUGGAGCAGCCAGCCCAGGUCCGGGGACACAAAGGAAGCUCAGUCUUUCUGCAGUGCUUGAUCCACAUCAGGAUCAACUACAUCCACUGGUACCGGCAGCAGGAGGGCCAGGCCCCCCAGAGACUUCUCUGGAUGAGUGUAUCCAGCAGGAAUGUGCAGUGGGAUUCAGUUCUGAAAGCAGAUAAAAUCACAGGCUUGAAAAACAACGAUGGCAGUCUCUGUUCCCUUUUGGUGCUGAACCUGGCGAAGAGUGACGAGGGCAUAUACUACUGUGCGGCUUGGGACCAGCACAGCCCUGCGUACUAA